GAUGAACGCUGGCGGCGUGCCUAACACAUGCAAGUCGAACGAACCUUGGGGAACGGAUUACUUCGGUUUGAAGUUCCCCGCUGGUUAGUGGCGGACGGGUGAGUAACGCGUGGGUAACCUGCCGUAUGCAGGGGGAUAACAGUUAGAAAUGACUGCUAAUACCGCAUAAGCGCACAGUAUCGCAUGAUACAGUGUGAAAAACGAUAGUGGCAUACGAUGGACCCGCGUCUGAUUAGCUAGUUGGCGGGGUAACGGCCCACCAAGGCAACGAUCAGUAGGGGUUCUGAGAGGAAGGUCCCCCACAUUGGAACUGAGACACGGUCCAAACUCCUACGGGAGGCAGCAGUGAGGAAUAUUGGUCAAUGGACGGGAGUCUGAACCAGCCAAGUAGCGUGCAGGAUGACGGCCCUAUGGGUUGUAAACUGCUUUUAUAGGGGGAUAAAGUGUGUCACGUGUGGCAUAUUGCAGGUACCCUAUGAAUAAGGACCGGCUAAUUCCGUGCCAGCAG
RNAcentral lists this ribosomal RNA (508 nucleotides) under uncultured bacterium. Its description in RNAcentral is "bacterial SSU rRNA". It matches the Rfam family "Bacterial small subunit ribosomal RNA", at positions 28 to 514 of the family's 1533-position model. The record is from RNAcentral.